This 391-nucleotide ribosomal RNA is filed under the name uncultured bacterium. RNAcentral's name for it is "bacterial SSU rRNA". It matches the Rfam family "Bacterial small subunit ribosomal RNA", at positions 505 to 898 of the family's 1533-position model. The record is from RNAcentral.
GUGUCAGCCGCCGCGGUAAUACGGAGGGUGCAAGCGUUAUCCGGAUUUAUUGGGUUUAAAGGGUCCGUAGGCGGACUUAUAAGUCAGUGGUGAAAGCCUGUCGCUUAACGAUAGAACUGCCAUUGAUACUGUAAGUCUUGAGUAUAUUUGAGGUAGCUGGAAUAAGUAGUGUAGCGGUGAAAUGCAUAGAUAUUACUUAGAACACCAAUUGCGAAGGCAGGUUACCAAGAUAUAACUGACGCUGAGGGACGAAAGCGUGGGGAGCGAACAGGAUUAGAUACCCUGGUAGUCCACGCCGUAAACGAUGCUAACUCGUUUUUGGAGCGCAAGCUUCAGAGACCAAGCGAAAGUGAUAAGUUAGCCACCUGGGGAGUACGCUCGCAAGAGUGAA